AGUGAACGCUGGCGGCAGGCCUAACACAUGCAAGUCGAGCGGCAGCGCGGGGGCAACCCUGGCGGCGAGCGGCGGACGGGUGAGGAAUUCGUCGGAAUCUGCCUUUUUGUGGGGGAUAACGUAGGGAAACUUACGCUAAUACCGCAUACGUCCUACGGGAGAAAGUGGGGGACCGCAAGGCCUCACGCAGAAAGAUGAGCCGACGACCGAUUAGCUAGUUGGUGGGGUGAAGGCCCACCAAGGCGACGAUCGGUAGCUGGUCUGAGAGGAUGAUCAGCCACACUGGGACUGAGACACGGCCCAGACUCCUACGGGAGGCAGCAGUGGGGAAUAUUGGACAAUGGGCGCAAGCCUGAUCCAGCCAUGCCGCGUGUGUGAAGAAGGCCUUCGGGUUGUAAAGCACUUUUGUCCGGAAAGAAAUCCCUGGAGCUAAUACCUUCGGGGGAUGACGGUACCGGAAGAAUAAGCACCGGCUAACUUCGUG
Molecule: ribosomal RNA, 484 nt
Filed under: uncultured bacterium
Lineage: Bacteria
Description: partial 16S ribosomal RNA
Rfam family: Bacterial small subunit ribosomal RNA
Source: RNAcentral